UAGAAUAUUAAAUGGCCGCGGUAUUUUGACCGUGCAAAGGUAGCAUAAUCGUUAGUUUUUUAAUUGGAAUCUUGUAUGAAUGGUUGGACAAAAGAAUAUCUGUCUCUAUGUUGUUUAUUGAAUUUAACUUUUAAGUGAAAAGGCUUAAAUACAUUAAGGGGACGAUAAGACCCUAUAAAGCUUAAUAUUAAAAUAUUAUUAGGUCAAAUUUUUCACUAUAAAGGGCUAAUAAUUAAAUUUAUUUUGUUGGGGCGACAAGAGUAAAAUGACUAUUAACUGCUUAUUUUUAAACACACUUAUUAGUGAUUGGGUAUUUAAAUGAUCCUAAGUAGAGAUUAAGAGUUUAAGUUACUUUAGGGAUAACAGCGUUAUUUUUCUUGAGAGUACUUAUCGAAAGAAGAGUUUGCGACCUCGAUGUUGAAUUAAAAUAACUUUAUAAUUGUAGCAGUUAUAAGAGUAGGUCUGUUCGACCUUUAAAAUUUUA
Molecule: ribosomal RNA, 484 nt
Filed under: Acmaeopleura parvula
Lineage: Eukaryota; Metazoa; Arthropoda; Malacostraca; Decapoda; Varunidae
Description: partial 16S ribosomal RNA
Rfam family: Bacterial large subunit ribosomal RNA
Source: RNAcentral